UAGAGUUUGAUCCUGGCUCAGAAUCAACGCUGGCGGCGUGCCUAACACAUGCAAGUCGAACGCGAAAGGGGCUUCGGCCCUGAGUAGAGUGGCGAACGGGUGAGUAACACGUGGGUGACCUACCCUCGAGUGGGGGAUAACAUCCCGAAAGGGGUGCUAAUACCGCAUGACAUCCUGUCUUUGAACAGAUGGACAUUAAAGCCGGGGAUCGCAAGACCUGGCGCUCGAGGAGGGGCUCGCGUCCGAUUAGCUAGUUGGUGGGGUAAUGGCCUACCAAGGCGACGAUCGGUAGCCGGCCUGAGAGGGCGGACGGCCACACUGGGACUGAGACACGGCCCAGACUCCUACGGGAGGCAGCAGUGGGGAAUUGUUCGCAAUGGGCGCAAGCCUGACGACGCAACGCCGCGUGGAGGACGAAGAUCUUCGGGUC
This 430-nucleotide ribosomal RNA is filed under the name uncultured Acidobacteriota bacterium. Its description in RNAcentral is "bacterial SSU rRNA". It matches the Rfam family "Bacterial small subunit ribosomal RNA", at positions 1 to 424 of the family's 1533-position model. The record is from RNAcentral. Lineage: Bacteria; Pseudomonadati; Acidobacteriota.